GCGGUCGUGGCGGAAUUGGUAGACGCGCAGCGUUGAGGUCGCUGUGGGGCAACCCGUGGAGGUUCGAGUCCUCUUGACCGCACCA
Molecule: transfer RNA, 85 nt
Filed under: Hyphomonas sp.
Lineage: Bacteria; Pseudomonadati; Pseudomonadota; Alphaproteobacteria; Hyphomonadales; Hyphomonadaceae
Also listed under: 1 other name
Description: tRNA-Leu
Rfam family: tRNA
About the family: Transfer RNA (tRNA) molecules are approximately 80 nucleotides in length.
Source: RNAcentral